UUAACUCAAAUUUGUAUGCAGUUGGAACAGCGCCCUUAGCGGCAAACGUAGGCAAACGUUCCAACUUCAUACAAAUUUGAGUUA
Bombyx mori (domestic silkworm) is the source of this 84-nucleotide non-coding RNA. The record is from Rfam. NCBI's taxonomy places the organism in Eukaryota, Metazoa, Arthropoda, Insecta, Lepidoptera, Bombycidae.